GGCUCGGUGGUGUAGUUGGUUAUCACGUCAGUCUAACAUUCUCAUCGAUGUUGACCACUGAAGGUCCGGAGUUCAAGCCUCCGCUGAGUCA
Non-coding RNA from Clathrospora elynae, 91 nucleotides. The record is from the annotation of a GenBank genome assembly. Lineage: Eukaryota; Fungi; Ascomycota; Dothideomycetes; Pleosporales; Diademaceae.